GGCCAAACAAGAAAUGGACUUUUCUAAC
RNAcentral lists this non-coding RNA (28 nucleotides) under Rattus norvegicus (Norway rat). Lineage: Eukaryota; Metazoa; Chordata; Mammalia; Rodentia; Muridae. The record is from RNAcentral.